AUCGAAAAGUAAGUGUUACUUAACUAUUUAGUUGUAACCUGCUUAAAAAUAUAUUCGGGUGCAGUUUAGUCUUAUCUUUUUUCAGGCGUCUCGACGUUGAAGUUAUUCUUCGAUACAUUCUGUGUAAAUAAAUAUUGAAAUGGUCACUUAGAGAGUUCCAAAAUCGUGUUCCCGACUUUUUGGCAUUAAUGUCGGGAAUUUUAAGUUAAUUAUUAUUUAUUCCACCUGUCAAAUGAAAUGUCAAUGUCAACAUUAGUGACGUCACAAUAUUUUAAAAUAACAAAGGGCCAAGUAAUUUUUUUUGUUGGUUUCCAUUUCGUUUAUGCACAAAAAAAGAUUACAAAUCAGAAUCAGAAAAUCAACAAAGGCUUUUCAGCUUUUGUCCGCGCUAUAAUCAGAUACGAGUAUUUGCAAACGAUUAAGAACUUGGUUAUAUACGGUACGGUAAGCAAAUAAGUUAUAAAAAUCGUAUGCCUUUGCUAUGAAGCAUUACCGGUCCGUAUUCCGUACUUCCAUUGUGCUUAUACUUCCAUUGUGCUUAUGUCUGCAUGUGCCUAUAUUUAUACUAUUCAAAAUAUCUGUUUUGUUAUACCACAUUGUUAUACUUGAAUACAUUUUUAUUCUUUU
Long non-coding RNA from Bombyx mori (domestic silkworm), 627 nucleotides. RefSeq lists it as uncharacterized. NCBI's taxonomy places the organism in Eukaryota, Metazoa, Arthropoda, Insecta, Lepidoptera, Bombycidae. The record is from RefSeq and is a predicted model, not a curated record. The transcript is spliced from 2 exons.